UGGGGAAUAUUGCACAAUGGGCGGAAGCCUGAUGCAGCAACGCCGCGUGCGGGAUGACGGCCUUCGGGUUGUAAACCGCUUUCACCUGUGACGAAUUCAGACGGUAGCAGGAGAAGAAGCACCGGCUAACUACGUGCCAGCAGCCGCGGUGAUACGUAGGGUGCGAGCGUUGUCCGGAUUUAUUGGGCGUAAAGAGCUCGUAGGUGGUUUGUUGCGUCGGGAGUGAAAACACACGGCUUAACUGUGUGCUUGCUUUCGAUACGGGCAGACUUGAGGAAGGUAGGGGAGAACGGAAUUCCUGGUGGAGCGGUGGAAUGCGCAGAUAUCAGGAGGAACACCGGUGGCGAAGGCGGUUCUCUGGACCUUUCCUGACGCUGAGGAGCGAAAGCGUGGGGAGCAAACAGGCUUAGAUACCCUGGUA
Molecule: ribosomal RNA, 421 nt
Filed under: uncultured bacterium
Lineage: Bacteria
Description: bacterial SSU rRNA
Rfam family: Bacterial small subunit ribosomal RNA
Source: RNAcentral